CCACCCAUGAAGAUCACAUUGCUUUACGCCACCCAGAAGAUGGUUCUGUGAUGAUUCAAGCAAUGGAUGAAGUCUUUCAGAAACAUGGCAAGAAGUUGCAUAUUGUGGAUUUUUUUACUCAAGUGAACAACAGAGUGGUGCACACAGACUUUUACAUGGACGAGGAUCCUGUCAAAGUGGUGCCUGUCAUGGAGUCCACUCUCACCAAAGCUGUGUACUUUUGACGCUUGGUGGAGGCAGAGGUGGAGGAGGUGGAAGAUUUUCAGUACAGAAUAAUUUGUUUAUGCAUUAGCACUGUGCUUUACACUGUAUCAAAUACUGGCUCUUAUGUGUUGGAUGUAAUGUGUUGUGAAGGUUUCAUCAGAAACUGCAGCACAAAGCAGUCAGUCUUAUAUCCUGACACUCUGGACAAUCCCUGCACUUGUCAUUACUAAGUGAA
This is a non-coding RNA of Phascolarctos cinereus (koala), 439 nucleotides long. The record is from RefSeq and is a predicted model, not a curated record. NCBI's taxonomy places the organism in Eukaryota, Metazoa, Chordata, Mammalia, Diprotodontia, Phascolarctidae.